CUGGGAUUAGAUACCCCACUAUGCUUAGCCCUUAACAUAGACAAUAAAAACACAAUAUUGUCCGCCAGAGAACUACAAGUGAAAAACUAGAAACUCCAAGGACUUGGCGGUGCCCCACAUCAACCUAGAGGAGCCUGUCCUAUAAUCGAUAAUCCACGCUGCACCUUACCAUUUCUAGNCAAUUCAGCCUAUAUACCGCCGUCGAAAGCCUACCUUAUGAAAGAACUAAAGUAAGCAAAAUAGUCAACAACUAAAACGUCAGGUCAAGGUGUAGCACAUGAAAUGGAAGAGAUGGGCUACAUUUUCUACCCUAGAAAACACGAACAGCACAAUGAAAUCUGUACUCAAAGGCGGAUUUAGCAGUAAGACAAAAAAGAAACUUUGCCUUAAACAUGCUCUGGGGCGCGCACACACCGCCCG
RNAcentral lists this ribosomal RNA (420 nucleotides) under Psychosaura macrorhyncha. RNAcentral describes it as "partial 12S ribosomal RNA". It matches the Rfam family "Bacterial small subunit ribosomal RNA", at positions 772 to 1396 of the family's 1533-position model. The record is from RNAcentral. Lineage: Eukaryota; Metazoa; Chordata; Lepidosauria; Squamata; Scincidae.